CCUACGGGGGGCAGCAGUGAGGAAUAUUGGCCAAUGGGCGGGAGCCUGAACCAGCCAAGUCGCGUGAGGGAAUAAGGCCCUACGGGUCGUAAACCUCUUUUGCCGGGGAGCAAGGGCCGGGACGAGUCCCGGUCCGGAGCGUACCCGGAGAAAAAGCAUCGGCUAACUCCGUGCCAGCAGCCGCGGUAAUACGGAGGAUGCGAGCGUUAUCCGGAUUUAUUGGGUUUAAAGGGUGCGUAGGCGGGCUUUUAAGUCAGCGGUAAAAAUUCGGGGCUCAACCCCGUCCGGCCGUUGAAACUGGGGGG
Molecule: ribosomal RNA, 305 nt
Filed under: uncultured bacterium
Lineage: Bacteria
Description: bacterial SSU rRNA
Rfam family: Bacterial small subunit ribosomal RNA
Source: RNAcentral